AGCAGGGUGGAGCAGUAGGUAGCUCGCAAGGGUCAUAGCCUUGAGGUCACAAGUUCGAGUCUUGUUCUUGCCA
This 73-nucleotide transfer RNA is filed under the name Bacteroides cellulosilyticus. RNAcentral describes it as "tRNA-Met". It matches the Rfam family "tRNA". From Rfam's summary of the family: Transfer RNA (tRNA) molecules are approximately 80 nucleotides in length. Their secondary structure includes four short double-helical elements and three loops (D, anti-codon, and T loops). Lineage: Bacteria; Pseudomonadati; Bacteroidota; Bacteroidia; Bacteroidales; Bacteroidaceae. RNAcentral also lists the same sequence under 1 other name. The record is from RNAcentral.